GAUGAACGCUGGCGGCGUGCUUAACACAUGCAAGUCGAGCGAAGCACUUUUGCAGAUUUUUUCGGAUUGAAGCAAUUGUGACUGAGCGGCGGACGGGUGAGUAACGCGUGGGUAACCUGCCUCAUACAGGGGGAUAACAGUUGGAAACGGCUGCUAAUACCGCAUAAGCGCACAGUACCGCAUGGUACCGUGUGAAAAACUCCGGUGGUAUGAGAUGGACCCGCGUCUGAUUAGCUAGUUGGUGGGGUAACGGCCUACCAAGGCGACGAUCAGUAGCCGACCUGAGAGGGUGACCGGCCACAUUGGGACUGAGACACGGCCCAAACUCCUACGGGAGGCAGCAGUGGGGAAUAUUGCACAAUGGGGGAAACCCUGAUGCAGCGACGCCGCGUGAGCGAUGAAGUAUUUCGGUAUGUAAAGCUCUAUCAGCAGGGAAGAAAAUGACGG
This 447-nucleotide ribosomal RNA is filed under the name uncultured bacterium. Its description in RNAcentral is "bacterial SSU rRNA". It matches the Rfam family "Bacterial small subunit ribosomal RNA", at positions 28 to 457 of the family's 1533-position model. The record is from RNAcentral.